GCAAACUUGGUCAUUUAGAGGAAGUAAAAGUCGUAACAAGGUAACCGUAGGUGAACCUGCGGUUGGAUCAUUACUGAGACGAGGUUGUGGCAGAUUGUUAUCAUCUGUCUCACAUCCUUCAACACCUGUGCACUGUGACUGUAUUUGGCAAGUGAGGGCCUGCUGCCGUACGUGCAGGUGGUGCCGAGUUUCAGUUGGCCCAAACGGAAUGUUGGGUCAAGUUUGAAAGCUUGUCCGGUUAUUAUUUAAACUAUUCAUUGAAUUGUGAGCCUGAGCAAUGCAAAAUACAGAAUGCAUAAAACAACUUUUGGCAACGGAUCUCUUGGCUCUCGCAUCGAUGAAGAACGCAGC
RNAcentral lists this unclassified non-coding RNA (351 nucleotides) under uncultured fungus. RNAcentral describes it as "partial contains small subunit ribosomal RNA, internal transcribed spacer 1, and 5.8S ribosomal RNA". The stretch from base 1 to 73 matches the Rfam family "Eukaryotic small subunit ribosomal RNA", at positions 1759 to 1831 of the family's 1831-position model. Lineage: Eukaryota; Fungi. The record is from RNAcentral.